UUAAAGAAAGCGUAACAGCUCACUGGUCGAGCGAGCCUGCACCGAAAAUUUAACGGGGCUCAAGUCAUGCGCCGAAGCUAUGGGAUUUAUAUUUAUAUAAAUCGGUAGGGGAGCGUUCCCUGUGCAGUGAAGCUGAAUCGAAAGGGUCAGUGGAGCGCAGGGAAGUGAGGAUGUUGGCAUAAGUAACGAAAAUGUGGGCGAGAAACCCACACGCCGAAAGCCCAAGGUUUCCCGGGCCAUGUUAUUCAGCCCGGGGUUAGUCGGCACCUAAGACGAGGCCGAAAGGCGUAGUCGACGGAAAACCGGUUCAUAUUCCGGUACUUGCAUGUGCGCGUGAUGGAGGGACGCAGGAGGAUAGGCCGGCCUGGUGAUGGAUAUCCAGGUUCAAGGCCGUAGGCGGAAGUCCCAGGUAAAUCCGGGACUUUAUCUAACGCCGAGAGUCGAUGACGAGAGGCUUUGCUUCGCAAAGCGGUCGAUUCCACACUGCCAAGAAAAGCUUCUAAGCAUAGCAGAUGCAAACCGUACCCCAAACCGACACAGGUGGGCGGGUAGAGAAUACCAAGGCGCUUGAGGGAAAUCAUGUUAAGGAACUCUGCAAAAUAACUCCGUAACUUCGGAAGAAGGAGUGCCUGCAGCGGUGAAGGGACUUGCUCCUGGAGCUUAAGCGGGCCGCAGUGACCAGGCCCAGCCGACUGUUUAGCAAAAACACAGCACUCUGCUAAAUCGCAAGAUGAUGUAUAGGGUGUGACGCCUGCCCGGUGCCGGAAGGUUAAUGGGAGGGGUUAGGUCUUCGGACCGAAGCUCCGAACUGAAGCCCCGGUAAACGGCGGCCGUAACUAUAACGGUCCUAAGGUAGCGAAAUUCCUUGUCGGGUAAGUUCCGACCUGCACGAAUGGCGUAACGAUCUGGGCGCUGUCUCAAUGUGAUUCUCAGUGAAAUUGAAAUGGCGGUGAAGAUACCGUCAACCCGCGGCAAGACGGAAAGACCCCGUGCACCUUUACUGCAGCUUGGCAGUGAACUUGGGAAAGAUUUGUGUAGGAUAGGUGGGAGGCUGCGAAGGGGGGGCGCUAGUCCCUCUGGAGCCACCCUUGAAAUACCACCCUGAUUUUUUCUGUGUUCUAACUUAGUCCCGUUAUCCGGGACAAGGACCCUGCCUGGUGGGCAGUUUGACUGGGGCGGUCGCCUCCUAAAGAGUAACGGAGGCGCGCAAUGGUUCCCUCAGCCGGUUUGGAAAUCCGGCGCAGAGUGCAAAGGCACAAGGGAGCUUGACUGCAAGAGCGACAGCUCGAGCAGGUACGAAAGUAGGUCUUAGUGAUCCGGUGGCCCCGUGUGGAAGGGCCAUCGCUCAACGGAUAAAAGGUACUCCGGGGAUAACAGGCUAAUCGCGCCCAAGAGUUCACAUCGACGGCGCGGUUUGGCACCUCGAUGUCGGCUCAUCGCAUCCUGGGGCUGAAGCAGGUCCCAAGGGUAUGGCUGUUCGCCAUUUAAAGCGGUACGCGAGCUGGGUU
Molecule: ribosomal RNA, 1508 nt
Filed under: metagenome
Description: bacterial LSU rRNA
Rfam family: Bacterial large subunit ribosomal RNA
Source: RNAcentral